UCGUGCUAGGCGGGGAGUUAGCGGUGCCCUGUACCCGCAAUCCGCUACAGCGGGGCGUAAUCCCCUUCCAGAGGCUCAAUGUGAUAGACCCCUGCGUCGGUAUUGGGAUGGUGACGACCGGGUCCCACGCGGCAUAGACUUGUGAACCCCGCCAGGUCCGGAAGGAAGCAACGGUAAAUGAGAUCCUAUGGGUGCCGUGGGAGUGCCUAGUUUGAGUUCCGGUUUUGAUACAUGUCUAUUACACUUAGUCGAAGAAGGGUGCACGG
This 266-nucleotide signal recognition particle RNA is filed under the name Chloroflexota bacterium. RNAcentral describes it as "signal recognition particle sRNA large type". It matches the Rfam family "Bacterial large signal recognition particle RNA". Rfam says of the family: The signal recognition particle (SRP) is a universally conserved ribonucleoprotein involved in the co-translational targeting of proteins to membranes. The record is from RNAcentral. RNAcentral also lists the same sequence under 1 other name. Lineage: Bacteria; Bacillati; Chloroflexota.